UUUGGUUUUAACCAUAGAACCUUUCAGAAAAGGCAAAGCUGCUGAGACAGUAAAAAGAUUAGUGUUAGUCAAGGGUUUAGAGAUGGCAGAUAAAACACAGGGGAGUUUUAGAACUCUGAAGUUCUUCUGUAUGACACUGUAUGAUGAAUACAUGGCAUUAUGCAUUUAUCAAAACCACUAGAACUAUACAACACAAAAAGUGAACCUUAACAUAAACUUUAGACUAGUUAGUAUACUGUGUAACGAUUGGUUCAUGAGAUGUACCCAAGGCACUAGAGUAAGACAAGACGAGGCUGACAGGCAACACGGUGGGGUUGGUGGGCAGAUGGGUGUACCCCACUCGCCACUCAAAUUUUCUGUAUACAUAGACUUCUAUACAUUUUUGUCUACUAAUUUUUUAAAAAAGCUUUUCGAUCUAUUACAAGUUAUAGGAACCUUGCCACAAAGAAUUUAGGAAUUUUAAUGACCUGAUAGAUAGAAAAUAAAAGGAAUUAGUUACUUUAAUAUAUCACUCAGUAUUCCCCCAGUUACCUAUUACAAAUAAAGUGAAUCAAAUAUAUAAUCUUUUUCAAUAGCAUACUCAUUUCACAUAUAGUAUAAUCCACUUGAAAUCUAAAUAUUUAGUGUCUUCUUAAUUUUAAAGAUA
This is a long non-coding RNA of Phyllostomus discolor (pale spear-nosed bat), 646 nucleotides long. RefSeq lists it as uncharacterized. The record is from RefSeq and is a predicted model, not a curated record. NCBI's taxonomy places the organism in Eukaryota, Metazoa, Chordata, Mammalia, Chiroptera, Phyllostomidae. The transcript is spliced from 4 exons.